This 119-nucleotide ribosomal RNA is filed under the name Etheostoma thalassinum (seagreen darter). Its description in RNAcentral is "partial 12S ribosomal RNA". Lineage: Eukaryota; Metazoa; Chordata; Actinopteri; Perciformes; Percidae. The record is from RNAcentral.
CAAAGGCUUGGUCCUGACUUUACUAUCGACUUUAGCUAAAUUACACAUGCAAGUAUCCGCAUCCCCGUGAGAAUGCCCUACAGUUCCCUGCUCGGGAACAAGGAGCUGGUAUCAGGCAC